GCCCUGGUGGCUCAGUUGGUUGGAGUAUUGUCCUACACACUAAAAAGUUGUGGGUUCGGUUCCCAGUCAGGGCA
This is a non-coding RNA of Myotis lucifugus (little brown bat), 74 nucleotides long. Lineage: Eukaryota; Metazoa; Chordata; Mammalia; Chiroptera; Vespertilionidae. The record is from Rfam.